UACUUGGGAGGUUGAGGCAGCAGAAUCAUUUGAACCUGGGAGAUGAAGAUUGCAGUGAGCCGAGAUCACACCACUGCACUCCAGCCUGGGUGACAGAGUGAGACUCCAGGCCAUGAGGAAGGACAGGUGAGUGUGAUAUUUCAAGAUACUUGGUAAUGAAGAAAAGGUGAGAGAUAUGCAAUAACCAGGGUGGUGGGUCGGGGCUGUUGGGAAAAAGGUAAACUCGGGUAGUGUGAACCAGAAAAAAUGGAAUGAAGUGGGUCUUUGCCAACCACAGGUCCAGGUUCUGCCUUGGAAGGGCUGUGUGUCCUUAGGCAAGUUUCUGUUUUGUACUUUUUGAUGUAUGGCACAGUAUUUGAAUAUAAGGUUUGAUGUAAAAAAUUUUCAGACAAAAAAAUAACAAAGUUCCCAUCAGCCUCACUCAAUCUCACCUCCCUCCCUAGAGGAUACUACCAUAUAAAGUUGCUGAGUGUGCUUCUGAGAUGUUUGUAUACACACAAUGAUGCCUAAUGUACAAUAUAUAAUGUACAUAUAUAAAUGUACUAUAUGUAUGUAGGAUACAUAGAACAUAUAAUAUUAGCAUAUCAGUAUAAAUCUAGGAUAUGUAUCUUUGAAAACAUCUAACUUGGUUGUGUGUCCGUGGUUUAUUUAUAGAAAUGAGACACACACAUACAUACAUAUAUGUGCUAUGGGCUGAAUUGUGGUCCCCCCAAAAUUCAGGUAUUGAAACCUUAACCCCCAAUGUGAAUAUAUUUGGAGACAGGGUAUCUGAAGAGGUAAUUAAGGCUGGGCAUGGUGGCUCAUGCCUGUAAUCCCAGCACUUUGGGAGGCCUAGGCAGGCAGAUCACUGGAGAUCAGGAAUUUGAGACCAGCUUGGCCAACAUGGUGAAACCCCAUCUGUACUAAAAAUACAAAAAUUAGCCAGGCAUGGUGGUGCAUGCCUGUAGUUCCAGCUACAUGGGAGGCUGAGGCACGAGGAUCGCUUGAACCUGGGAGGUGAAGGUUGCAGUGAGCUGAAAUGGCACCACUGCACACUCCAGCCUGGGUGACAGAGCAAGACUACAUCUCUAAAAAUAAUAAUAGUAAUAAAUAAAGGGGUAAUUAAGGGCCAGGCGCGCUGGCUUAUGCCUAUAAUCCCAGCACUUUGGGAGGCCAAGGCGGGUAAAUUACCCGACAUCAGGAGUUCAAGACUAGCCUGGCCAACAUGGUGAAAACCUAUCUCUACUAAAAAUAUAAAAAUUAGCUGGGCAUGGUGGCACACACCUGUGGUCCCAGCUACUCAGGAGGCUGAGGCAGGAGAAUGGCUUGAACUUGGAAGGUGGAAGUUACAGUGAGCUGAGAUCACAUCACUGCAUUCCAUCCAGCCUGGGCUGCAGAGCCAGAUUUCAUCUAAAAAAAAAAAA
This 1403-nucleotide long non-coding RNA is filed under the name Macaca fascicularis (crab-eating macaque). RNAcentral describes it as "lncRNA (ENSMFAG00000064029.1)". The record is from RNAcentral. Lineage: Eukaryota; Metazoa; Chordata; Mammalia; Primates; Cercopithecidae.